AUACGUAGGGGGCGAGCGUUGUCCGGAAUGAUUGGGCGUAAAGGGCGCGUAGGUGGCCCGGUAAGUCUGGAGUGAAAGUCCUGUUUUUAAGAUGGGAAUUGCUUUGGAUACUGUCGGGCUUGAGUGCAGGAGAGGUAAGUGGAAUUCCCAGUGUAGCGGUGAAAUGCGUAGAGAUUGGGAGGAACACCAGUGGCGAAGGCGACUUACUGGACUGUAACUGACGCUGAGGCGCGAAAGUGUGGGGAGCAAACAGGAUUAGAUACCCUGGUAGUCCACACUGUAAACGAUGAAUGCUAGGUGUAGGGGGUAUCGACCCCUUCUGUGCCGCAGUCAACACAAUAAGCAUUCCGCCUGGGGAGUACGGCCGCAAGGUUGAAACUCAAAGGAAUUGACGGGG
Molecule: ribosomal RNA, 397 nt
Filed under: uncultured bacterium
Lineage: Bacteria
Description: partial 16S ribosomal RNA
Rfam family: Bacterial small subunit ribosomal RNA
Source: RNAcentral